This 222-nucleotide ribosomal RNA is filed under the name uncultured bacterium. RNAcentral describes it as "partial 16S ribosomal RNA". It matches the Rfam family "Bacterial small subunit ribosomal RNA", at positions 113 to 334 of the family's 1533-position model. The record is from RNAcentral.
UAGCAUCGGAACAUGUCCAUUCGUGGGGGAUAGCCCGGCGAAAGCCGGAUUAAUACCGCAUACGCCCUGAGGGGGAAAGCGGGGGACUUCGCAAGAGGCCUCGCGCGAAUGGGUUGGCCGAUGUCCGAUUAGCUAGUUGGUGGGGUAAAGGCUUACCAAGGCGAUGAUCGGUAGCUGGUCUGAGAGGAUGAUCAGCCACACUGGGACUGAGACACGGCCCAG